GACGAACGCUGGCGGCGCGCCUAACACAUGCAAGUCGAACGAGCGAGAGAGAGCUUGCUUUCUCAAGCGAGUGGCGAACGGGUGAGUAACGCGUGAGGGACCUGCCUCAAAGAGGGGGACAACAGUUGGAAACGACUGCUAAUACCGCAUAAGCCCACAGGUCGGCAUCGACCAGAGGGAAAAGGAGCAAUCCGCUUUGAGAUGGCCUCGCGUCCGAUUAGCUAGUUGGUGAGGUAACGGCCCACCAAGGCAACGAUCGGUAGCCGGACUGAGAGGUUGAACGGCCACAUUGGGACUGAGACACGGCCCAGACUCCUACGGGAGGCAGCAGUGGGGAAUAUUGCACAAUGGGGGAAACCCUGAUGCAGCGACGCCGCGUGGAGGAAGAAGGUCUUCGGAUUGUAAACUCCUGUUGUUGAGGAAGAUAAUGACGGUACUCAACAAGGAAGUGACGGCUAACUACGUG
This 466-nucleotide ribosomal RNA is filed under the name uncultured bacterium. RNAcentral's name for it is "partial 16S ribosomal RNA". It matches the Rfam family "Bacterial small subunit ribosomal RNA", at positions 28 to 507 of the family's 1533-position model. The record is from RNAcentral.